AGGAGAGGGGAAGCUGAGGGGAAGGAGGGCUGUGAGGGGAGAGAAGGAAGGGGAGACUGCGAGGGAGCCCCAUUUGCCUGAGGGGGUCACAGAGAGCCCCCCUGCGAGCUGCCCUGGCUCGAGUUCUGCUUCCAGAGGGCAGCAGCAGCCUCCACAGCUCGGUGCCCACCCAGGCUCAAACAAGUCUCCUCAGGAGACGCUGCGGCAGUUGUGAGGGCUCAGAGUUAAGCAGCAAGUUUGUAACAGCAAGGAUAGUACCCAGCUGCCAGACAUCACACCAGCGGACAGCAGGCAAACACAACGGGAGGCUUUGUCCUGUGGGACAACCUAGGCAGCUUUCUUUACGCUGGAGGUAGCAGAGUGAUUCUCCGCAUUCAUUCCGUCUCGCAGAAGUGACCAGGCAACAAAGGCAGAGCAGCACGGAUAAGGCAUUCCGGCGGUUCAAUUUACUUCUCAAGAGUCAUUCCAAAGCCCUUUAAAAAGAUCUCUUUGCUAGCAGAGGGCAUUAAAAAUAUAUUAUUUCCUCAGAAAUAAUGAGGACAGGGUAAAAUAUAUGCAAGGCAGAAGGGAAGAAAGGGGAUGUCUGUGGCAAAACUUUUCACUCCUGUGCCACGAAGGCCGGCAAGAGCCAGCUGGUUGCUUGUUGCCUCCGAAGUACCAGUCUGCCCCGCUGCUGCAUGCAAGGAAUGCACAAAGCCCCUUAAUGCAGAGGGGAGGGAAAUUUGUAGGACACCAGCUUUGCCCUGGAGCUGGCCCUGCCAGAGUGAAAGCCCAAGCAGGCAGGAGCCAGAACUGCAGCUCGAGCAACAGACAAUCAAGCUGCUCUCCUUGGCUUGUGCGAGGCUGGGAAAGCUACACACAGGGAAGAGGAGUCCCACAGAAUCCCAUCAUGUAUCCUCUAGCACCCAACAUUCAUUUCCAGCCCUCCAGGCCCUGUGAUGCUGAAAAAAAAAGACAUGCCAUCAUCAGGAGAAAGCUUAUCUCCCUGUUGAUUUGGAGAGCGUUCUAGUUCUGUUUGACAGAGGUAUCUGAGCACUGAGAGUGUCCCAGUCCUAUGUACGUGUGCAUACAAGUGCAAUGCACGCAUACACCCAGCACUAGUCCCAGAGAAUACACGUAGCACUUCCCAUCUCAAGUUUACUGCAUGUGCUGCUUGCCCUAAGUAAAAUAACCAAACACAAUCCUUGUCAAACAGUCCUAAAUGAGCCAUACUUCCCCUCCAUUUCUUGGACUUCCCUACAUUCCCAUUUCAUUUCUUAUUCACUGCAUUUCUUCUCCCCUUCUCUCUCCAACCAUGCAAUUUUUUGAAGAAAAAAUCACUUUAUAGAACAGACAGGCCCUAGUUCAACUUGAAGUUGAACUUCGAUUUACUCAUUACACUUUAUUUAUAACUUUCUAUUCAACUCCCUAAAACAAAGGUUGGACCCCUCCUGACUCCCUCCUACUGACGCGACAGUGAUGCCAAUCUUAACCUCGUUAGCAUUGAUUUUCAUGUAAGGCUAGUAAUUUUCCCAACAACAUCCACAGAAGAAACCAACCCAAGUCCAUUUGUCCCGCAUGAAAGAAGCUGCUCCUGUCUGCAAAGCAAUAGUGAGAAGAUGACGUUCAAAUUGCAGAAAACAGAACUGAAACACAAGUAAAUCUCUAAUCCCUUUACAAAAAGGCACUUAUCGUGAAGUUGGAAUAACCGUGAACACACAGGUGAAUUGAAGUGUUUUACCAGGGUAACAGUACGAACAGGGAGCAGAACCACUUUACCAAAAUACAGUGCCUCCCACCUGGAAAGCCAGCUCCUUGAACUUUCAGAAAUCUUCGCACGAUCUUAAGUUAACUAAGAUAUCAAAGCAACUUCCCCAUUUAAAAGCAGUUCACAGAAGGCACGCUCAGUGCUCAGUACGACAAUUUAAGUUGUGCAGGGAGUGGCAUAUUGAACAUUUUACUGCUUGUGUUUAGUAAACAAUCGCUGUGCCAGUGUUGUUUGUGGGUCAACACUGGAAGGCUUCAACAUCUCCACUCUCCAAAGUUAUCACCAGUUUCCUCACGUCCCAUUUUCAGACCAAGGCAGGGGGCCAACAAACAAGCAUGCAAAACCAGCAGCAACUUUCAGAAGUUGCAGGAAUCAUGAGAAACAUUACACACACCACCUCUGACAGACGUUACCAUCGUCUCAAACCUUCUGGAUUUGCAGAAGGCUAUCAAGCUCAUGACCAGAAUGCCAAUUAAAUGCAUUUCUGUCUACUCAUACAGUCUUCACAAGCUCACACUUGCAACAGAUCCCUAAAGGUAAGAAUUUGACAGUCCAAAGAGAAAGGAAACGGAUUUAAACCUCCAACCACUGGCUUCCUGUUUCCAUCUAUAGUAGGAAAUUCAAAGUCUCCCGUAUCCAUGACUCCAAGACACCUGUGGUGGCACAGAGAAAACAGAGAUGGCAAACAGCAGCAGUCAAAGCACUCCUGAAAACAGAUGUGAUACACAGCAACAUACACUGAUCGCUCGGUGCUUCCUACUGCCUAAAAUGACAAAAUAUCAUUUUAAAGUUUCAUCUUUGUGAAAGGAGUUUAAGCAUUCACGUUAAAAUCAGUGUAAGCUUUAGGAAAGAACUUUUAAACGUUACAUUGAUUUAAACUUGAUUGAUCCACUAUGGAACUGGUGAAGCAUUAGCUGUACCACAAUUACUGUAACCACCGGGCUCUGACUGCAGAAGUUUUUAUUCCUGCUCACCAAGUCUGGAACUGCUUCUGGAAUUCCUUUUAUGCAUACAAAGUUCACUGAAAAUUUACAGAAGAAAAAAUAAAGGGCUGGUAGGCUGUUAGCUGAAAAGAAUCUUGAACUGGUGCCUUGAAACCACUUCAUCCGAUGAAAGCAUUAAAUAGAGUUUUGGGGUUGUUUUUAACCCCAAAUUAGUUUAUUAAUAAAGUGCUUCAAAAAUUACAGUGAAAAAUUCUUCUUUUCUUCAACUCCUAACAACAGCAGAUAGAAGAAUGUUCUCUCUACAUAAACAAACGCAAAGCUGUUUGGUUUCUGGAUAGAAACCAUUAACCCUCAUCACCCUGAUUAAUUACUUUCUAUUUUUAAACCUUGAGAAAGGACAUUACUGCAGUUCCUUUCAGAACACAUGCAUAGGAAGCCAAUAGGCAAACCCCCUUCUUCCCCUAGGUGAAAGAGAAUAAAUUGACCACAGCAGUGUCUGUAGCUCACAAGAUGCUGGAAACCAAGGCAGCUCCCAGCACCCUUGGCCUUCCCUCAGCUAGAAGGCAUCUGGUUGGGAGAGCACAGGAACGUGCCAGCAGUCGAGCUGCAACCAGAGGGACAGGAAUAUAAACUUACAACAAGCCAGGCCAGAUGCAAAACAACAAAAAUUGCCACCAAACUGGCUGCCUAGACUUAGGCACCGUGUAUUUAACCAGCAGGGUUAGCUUAGCUCCAGCAUCAGUGGAUGUAGAAACUGAAAUUUAAUUAAUUGCGGCACAAUUAGUGCCCUUUCCAUAUCCCCUGGGAGCUGUCUUCACCUACCUGCUACUAGGACCUCUGAGGGUAUGUUUUCUGCACACAACUAAGCUGACCUACCCUAUGAUCUUCCCACCCUGAAACCGGGGGGAAAAAAAACUUCCUUGCAUCUACUGCAUGAAGAGGAAAGCAGCUCUGAAAGAUCACCACUAUCCAAAUAAUUCAAUCUGCAAGUUACUGCAAAACAGAGAAGUUACCAGGUCAAACCAGAGCUGUUUUUCAGCUCAACACAUGCUAGAUCAGCCUGAGAAUACCACAGACUCAAUAAAAAGGGAUUGUUUAUUACCUGACAAGAAUUCCCUUGAGUCUCCAAAGGCAUCCGCUGUCCUGAAACCACAAAUACCAUUGUUCUGGACUUUUACAAUACUCUGUGAAAGCCAAGUGAGCCUCAAGGUGGUGUGAAGCACCACCCAAGUGUUUUCAGUUCACAUACUUUCUAGCCUUGCAGGAGGCCUCCAGGUCCAAACUCAAGGAAGGUCAGGAAAAUAACUAAGACGUGUCCCCUCUUCAUAUCUUCAUGCAGUUCAGCUUACAGUUUUUCCCCUGAAGAAUACCCUAAAAAAGAUCUGUUCAAACAAAUGGGAUUCUACCUCAUUAGCACAGCAAACAUAUUUAGAAAGAUUAACAGACACACACACACACACACACACGGGGAAAACUUUACUAGGAGAAAGCACUGGCAAGUGAUGAGCAUUCAGGUUAAGUCUCUUAAUGCACACGCUUCCCCAAACCCCGGUAUUCCUUAAAAUAUGACAGGAAGCGCCUAUUUGCUUUUCCUAUUCACACUAAUUCAGGUCUAUUGUUGGCUGAAACAAAGGUCUUUCAGCCCACAUCACCCGUUCCCAGGACAUUUGACACCAGUUUAUUAAUAUCAUAAACAUAAGAGGCACAAGUGGCAGAAAUCCAGCCCCGCUCCUGGUGCCCGUCUUAAAUAACCUUAGAAAGGCGGGCAAGCAGCCUCACAGGUUGUGGAGCUGCAACGUUCGGUCACAAUUAGGGACAAGCUGUUAAAGGUCACAGCUUCUCCUUGAGCCUGCUCUUUACAGCCUCUGCAAGAGUGCACGAUCCCAAGAAACAGCUCAGGUCUGCCCACAACCCUUCCUGUCUGCAACCAGCAAAUUGUUCUGACUUUAAAUACAGAAGUAGCCAACAGCAAACCCAACACUUCAGCAUUGUUAAAUACUAGCCUGUUGCUCAAUAUGAAAGCUAUUGCAGGGUUCAGUUUUCUAAUCAUCACAAAAUUCAGCUGCUGAGAGCUUCCAACCUGAGAAGUUUGAAUCUACUUUAAUGCAGGGAAAUGGGAAAAGCCACCUGCCUCCCCCCUAAUGAGGAUGUGCAUUGCAGCUUUGCAUCAAUCCCUCUUCCAUCACGCUGAAAAACUCCUCUCCCAUCAAGGUCAGGACCAUCAGAAAGACUGUGAGCAGCAGUGGCUAACCUCUGAAUAACAUCACCUCGAGAGGCUAUGCACCCCUAAAUUAAGCUGCUAUCUAAUACUCCAUCAGAAAGGAUGGCUUUGAUGUGAGAUAUAAAGAAUAAAAGACUUCAAGUACAGAAGACAGACUGUUUAAAAAAAAUCUAAACAUGUUACAGUUUGCAAUGUCUUCCUUUUGAAAGUAUCUACUACAUAGAAAACAUCUAACAUUUUAAAUAUCUGGCUUGGGUACGUAUGUGCUCCACUGCUGUCACAGCAUACAACAGUCACAACCUGGAAAAAUUACGUGUCCCUGCUUAGAUGUAGAUAAAGAAAUCCAAAACCUUAGGUUUCAAAUGCCACACAACUCUGGCAACCAUUACUGAUAGAAUAAGUGAUAGUGGCUGUCAUUAUGGCAACGGCAUAUCCCACAUACAAAACAGUUUACAACAGCCCAGAACACUCAUAUAACCAAGCCUUGACUGGUUUACAUACCCCAAAAAUAAUUGAAAUAAACAUGUGCUCCUUGGUGCUGCAGCAGCAACACUUCAAAAACAACUUCUUGUUUAAAACCCUAGAUGAAAUCUCAAAAAUACGAGCCCAGAAGAACGUGAAGCUCGUGGUUUGCUUAAAUAGGCAAUCUGACAGCGUUUUCUGCCUCUACAGUGCAUCCAUACUACUGAGCACAUGUUUUAAAUAUUCCUGCAGAUGUAGCGAUAACCUGACUAAAUGAUGCAGGAAAGGGUUUCCUCCACCUUGAGUUUUCUAGUUCCACGCAUUACGCCUUUCAACAUACUUUAAAAAGUGACUGUACUAAGCAAUUCAACGUGCAGUCCACACUAGUUACAUUUCAAUGCAGAAACCCUGCUCAGCUAACAAAACCCAUGCUGACUUAUGAGAUACUUCCCUGGAGAAAGAUGACAGAAGGGUUAAAUUAUAUUCAUAUCGUGGAGAAUUCAGGGAGUUUCUUAUCAUUUUUGUCCUUUAUACAACUGCAUACAGAUCAGGCAUUAUCUGGUUAUAGGGGAACAAAAUUAACUCAAGCAGCGACUACCUUCAUGCCCACACUUUCUUUCAAGUAAGAUCCCCUUAGGUGCCUGAAUGUUCUGUCACUAUCGCUCACAACACUGAGGGAUUUACUGAGCAAUACCAGGAGAACUGAGACAAAAAGGCUUAUAAAUAACAGAUUUGAUUAUUUCUGCUCUACUACUGCAUUUGUCUAGCCUCAGUGCUCUGGUACAUAACUUGUUCCAACACAUUUUCUGCCUGCAGAGCUUUGCUUUACAAAGCAUCGUAAAUAAAGCUACAGCAAAACUGUUGCUGCAUACCUAACUUCCAAGAAAGAACUAUCUCAGUUCUGACAUUAAGGACAAAAAAAAAUCAGGAUUACUCAUUUUCCAGAAUAAACUUUAUGAUGGACCAGAAAAAUCAAACAACCUCUAUUCAAAGAAGAGCAGCACUGCUGAUUCUGGCUCUCCUGAAAACAUCCCUGCUGACCUGCAGAUAAAGGACAUCCGGCUGCCAUAUGCAGGGUAAGAUUUGGGAGACCAGGACUCCACCUCAACCCACUGCUCUCUGGAAAACCUGUAGUCUGAGAGAUCAAUUACAGUACUACACACUCACUGGGCUCCUUCUGGAUGUGUGAUACUUCAAGAAGUGCUCCAUAAUUCUCCUAUGACCAGUACUAUUGGAUUCAAGUUAUAUUUAUUAUCAGGAUUUUCCAAAAUACAAAGAAAGAAUUAGACAAAGAUUUAUUUACGCUUUAUUUCUUCUCACUGUGAUAAAGAUAACAUGCUAGCAAUGCAUCUAUUUUCAAAGAACAGGCUAAUUACCCCUUGCAGCAGAAGUGCUUUCCUGUAUAACCAAGCUGUUUUAUUUAUACUUUCAUUUUCUUAGGGAACUGUUCUUCAUAGGCAUGGGAAGGAUGAAGAAUGUUCUUGAAAAAUGCCAACAAGCUCAGAAAUACCACUGAGAUCUUAAAAAAGAAAUAAGUAUCAGUGCCUAAGCUGUUGAUCCCACUAAGUUAUAUGCAGUUAAUAGCACAGAGUCCCUGCCUUCUAUGGGUAUUAGGACUAAUUUCCAUUCAAGACCAGUGUGCAAUUCCCACGUAUAAAUUUCUCAUGCUCUGUCACCAAAUGUGAUUUUAAACAUAAUAAAAAAAGUCAUUCAAAAAUAUAGGUAGUUAAGCUUUAAAUAUACGCUUCCGAGGCUGCAAGAUGUCCAUAGAUUAAGGCUUUUUAAUAAACAUCCAUCAGGAGUAAUAUGUAAAGUUGAAAGCUUUGCAUGUAGAGAACGUAAUAAACUCCCAAGGUCUUCUCAGCCCUUUUCUGUGAUACCAUCCUCAUUUUGUUGUGACAGAUGAUAAACACAUUUGUUUGAUAACCAGAGGCUGAGCAGAGAACUGAAGUCUACCACUCAGAGCAUGGAUUUCACAAGUGCCAAAGUUAUGUUCAUGCUCUUUGACUCUUGAAUUCUGCUUGUUAAAAUACUUAGUAGCAACAGGUCUAGGGAAAAAUCAGCGCUGUGAACUAGGUGAAUCACUGAGGAAUUUACUCACCUCUCCUAAUGCACAGAAGGUUUAUAAGCUUCUCCUCAAGACAGUAAAGUAUCUUACUCAAGACAGCUUGCACCAAUUAUAGCUGAAUACAUCUACACAAAAGCUGCCCCUGCAUUACUUAUUCAAGGGUACAUUUGCCCAGACAGCACUGAAAAAUAAGCACUACAGAAUUAGCUAUAUAUUAAUUCACAUUACCAAACAUCUGCUCAGUAUAAAUUUUAAAAGGAUGCUUUCAUUUGGAUGACUGCACGUUAGAAGAAUAAAUCAUUUCUAUUUCAAGUUAUAUUUACUUACCAUAUGGCAUUUGUUUGUUGUUUUUUUUAUUUUUUUUUUUAAAGCUCUUCAAUGCUAACACGGAAAACAUACCUGUUUCUGCUUGCACUUGUGCAUUUUUAUCAUCCUUUUUCUUCCUUCACUUGACUCAGGUGAUUCCGGAGUCCUUGAAACUAAUUUGAAUCAGUAACUACUUACUUCUCAACUCCUGCUGACAGCUCCCCACCUCAAUGUACAGAAACAUUCCUCACCUCCAACAAAGUAUCUCCACUAACUAGUCCCCUCAGAAGACCUUACUUCAGAUCUUUUCAGGAGGCUUGUUUGUGUUCCGAAGUAGUGCAGAGCUAUUUAUGGCAAAGUCUCCGCUGGAAUCACAGCCAGAAUUUCAAUAGGCUGCACAGCACAGAAAAGCCAGUGGUUCGUUUUCUGUUUGCAAAUAACAAUAUAUUUGGAAAUAACAUACUGUGCUAUUGUUUUGCAUGUUCAGAACAGAAGCCUUGAGGCGAUGCCUUUCUUCAUUUGUCACUGGGAAUGCCACAGCUUAAGAGCACUUGGAGUAUCUUGAUUUGCUCUUUUUGCUGAAGCCACUACAAAACAUACACCACAAGUUAAAAAUUAGGAGCAGUACUUCAGAAAAACAUCAUGAUUUGGCAAUGCCUUUCAAAAUCAGCUACUAGAAUUCUGUAGUCUGGGUUGCCCUUCUGUUGUCAAUACAAAAAACAAUUCCUGGAAACUAUCACGCUGUUUCAGACUCUUCUCAUACAUUCUUUGGCCAAAGCCAAAAAUUUCUAACACUUUUUAAUCUCCAAGUGUCAAACUCUAGCAUGCAAGAGACCAUUGCACCUCAGACACAUGUCAAGUGCCUCCCUCUAAGGAAGGAAAAUUAAAGUUAAAAAAAGUCAUCUUACCUACCAUAAUGGAGAAAGAAAGGAGGGAAGGAGGCACGCUCACUAGAUGAGUUUCAGGCAGCCUGCCGGAGAGCACAGCGCCUGUGAAGGUCACAAGUGCAACUGAAGCUUCCAGCAGAGACGAAUACAGAGCUCUGACUAUCACGGGACUGAGGAAUAAAACUUUCAAAUUAUUUCACUCACUAUGGACAUCCACUCCUUUAUUAGUUUAUUUUAAUACUUGGUGCAUUUUUUGCUGUGGAACAUGGAAAAUAAUCUUCCAUUUACCAAUUGCCUUUCCCCCACACACACUUAGCAAGUAUUUUCCUGCACUUUUUACUCCAGCCCAAGCAUACAUGCCUCAACAUCUUAAGUUUUUGUUGUAGUUAAACAGAAGCCAAUACUAGUUUGAAGCCUGGACUUCCAGAGAGAUUCUUAACACUUCUUUAAAUGAUGCAGAACAGAAUCUACACGUUGACACCUCGGUAAGGCUGACCCUCACACUUAUACCACAUCUGAAAAAAUUACAGUCUACAAGUCUGAGCUAAAUACUGACCUUUAUUCUUAAGGGAGUUACUUUACAUCUCAUCUUCGCUAUCUAUAAAUUAGGAGGCUUUCUUUGAUCUUGGAAAAAUUAUAUAACAGCUAUAAAAACAAGACAGAAUAUUUAGUUACAUUACUGUCCUGCAAAGACCUCAAAGCUCCCUGCAAUAGCUUUUAGUAGAAGUCUUGGAACCCAAUUUUGGGCAACACGCAUGCUAGUCUUACAGACAAGGAAAAAACAAAGUACAUAGGGGCUAAAAUGAUGCAUCUCAACUCAGCAUGAUUACUUUCAAUUAACUUAAUUUCUAUUCUUAUCCCCUCAGGAUAAUUAAUUUUAAGCCUAAAUUUUAAACUUGGUAAAAAGUUAAAAAAACACACAGCUAUUUAAUAGAGGUAAGCCUCACUGAAAAUACACUAGUUAAAAGAACAUGAAUCGGAAGGUGCCAAACUUCAACUUGAGCAUUAUGUAAGAGCAGAACUUCUGGAAAACGAGUUUCAACACACACACAAACAAGCUUACAAGACCAAAGAGGGCUGUGUACAUCAUCUUCUCUUGCUGACUUCUUCAAAAUGACAGCAGCCAGCAAGGAGGAAAGAUUAAGCCAGAAGUGCUCCUACACAGGAUGCAAUCACUCCGUCGUGUCAUCUCUUUCCCUACCAACGUAUACACGUAAUAGCCCUUGCACAGGAACAUGAGGAUCAGAACAGAGAUGACCUCACAGCACAGCUGUAGAUGACAAUUUAGAUCACACUUGAGAUCUGCAGAAACAGCAGAAGGGUGAUGCCACAUAAGAAGGGAAUGCCACAUAAGCCAGUAGAUGUGUUAUAACAAAGUUUGGUCUGAGCUUCCUCAGGUCAAAUCAAGGAAGAGAAUCCACAAGCUCCAGGGAGCCAGCAACCUGGUGUGCGCAGUCCUAGAGGUUUGGUUUGUUCUUAAAUGCUAUCUCCUUACUGCACUUUCCUCUGAGGCAUCCAAAUCUUGUCAGAGAGAGAACUGCUGGGUUAAGCACAGCAGGCGUCCUGCUCCAGUGACAGGAUUGUCAUGUUACCGGCCUCCACUGCUCCUCGUGAGUGGGCUACUGGUCCAAAAGGGAACACAAAAUGAAGACCCUGCAUGUUUCUUGAACAGAAAUAUAAAAUCAAUAAGGUUAAACUACAAAAUUCCGAACGCAAAGCUGUGAGAACAGAGAAAAGCAGGCGGCUUCUACAGAAAGUUGGGUCAAAAAGCCCCUCCUGCCAGUUCCAGUGUCCCUAAACGCAGCUUAUGAAUGCCUCGGUACUGCCUCUACAUCACAGAGCCGUCUGCUCACUGCUGGACUAGACCAUGACAAGGUCUGCGUGCUGCAGUUUCAAUUGGGGUUUGUUCGUACUGAUCUUUUAGAAGAGGUUCUCCAACAGAUCCCAAAUUCACUGAUAUUAGAGCUCCCCAUAUGGAAGGAGACUACAAACAAGCAUCGGAAGGCUGAGGAAUUGUCUCAGUUGUUCCCGUGGCUCCUUCACACCGUUAUCCUGCACCCAGGGGAAGCAUCCAGCCAGCCACCCCUCACUGCUCCUGCUCCACCAGAUACUUGUUACACUGACAACUGUCUGGGGAAACUAAUUCAAGAUAAAAAAUUCCUCUGAUAACCAAUAACCCAAGAUAUGUAAUUUCCACUCAGGCCAGUUCCCCAAAGCAAGAAUUAACAGCAAUUAAGAGCUAACGCAGGACUUUCUUUCAGUUCUGUCAGUAUCUCUACAAAUGACCCCAUUUACAGAAACGAUGCACUACAAAUACUGGGAAAUUAAGUACUGUUAUGCAACUACAUCAGAAAAAAGUCCAGGAACUCUCAAAAGUGUCUUUCAGAAUUAUCAUUUAUGAAAGUUGAAGAUAAAAAAAUAUUUUAAUGCAUAAAUUGUAUCUGCUGGGUCAAAUUACUUUAAAAAAGAGCUCUUCACACUCUUUAUGAGCACUAUACCCAAGCACAUGUAGGUCACAGUCUCUGCGCAUCAACUUCUAACCUCCUGACGGAAGAAAGGCCAGCUGCAACCACCACUUUGAAGAGUCAAAGAAUGGCCCCUGAAUACUUUUUAUACUCCUUGGGGAAAAAGCAAAAUAUAGUCAGGAGCAUUUAACAGACAGGAAUAUAGUACAAAUGCUUCCUAAGUUUAAAUGAGCAACUACAGUCUGAACUCUCAAACGCCUUAUAUGUUCCUGAAUAUACGCAGUUAUAUUUUGUUAAGUUCUCAAAACCAUCAAGCAUUAACUGUGCGCAUUUGGAAAUCUUGUUACUCCCUGAGCAUUAAUACAAGAACUACAAUUGAAAAUGCAAAGAAAAACAUUUCCACCCAAAACACAUUCUGCACACCUGGGAAAUCAAUCUUUCCAACAAUACAACUCCUAAAUCCUCUCUUCCUGACCCUAAUUAUAUUUUUUUAAACCGAAGUUAGAUGCAAGUCUAUCUGCCCGAGGGUUUGCCACGUGGCCCAGAUAGGCUGGGUUUCUUAAUGGUGCUAUAACUUGGGGAUGGCUGGGAGGAAAACACAUUCUUAUAAAGAAUGGCUGACCAAGUAAAUAAUUUCUCCUCCAGUGCUUAACAAAAGCACGACAAGUUAGAAGAGAGAAGCUUGCAGCCCCUUCUAUUUCUGUAACAGGAUUACAGUCAUGCACAGAAACCUCAAAGAAUAAUUUGCAGUAACAUCAACUCGAUGGAACACCCUACCUGGUGCUGGUAGCCAGCACCCGCAUUUUGAAGGCAAGGGUAACAACCCCAGAGCGCCAGCAACAGAAAACCAGAAGGCAAACCCACUGCUAGGUAACACCACCAACAGCCCCAAACAACGCCCUAAAGCAGGCCUUUUGGGUAGCCAGAAAGCAAGGGUCGGUGCAUUAUUUAAAGGAAGCCCUGCUGGGUAAAUGUGCAACAAGCACACACCAUCAGAGCAUCAAUUCCUCACCUUGCAGAGUACCCGCAGGGUGAAGACAAUAGUGCCUAUUUUUCCUCUAAGACCCCCACACCGUACGACAAUAUCCUAUUUCCAGCUUACCUGUGUGCAAACCCUACACAAGUAGCAUCUCAUUAGUGCAUGCUUUAACUGAGCCAUAAAAUAUUAACACAGUUACAUUACACGUAUUCCACUCAAAUUUAAAAUCCAGAAAACUGUCCAGAUUCUGACCUAAAGCCUACCAGAGCUUUGUGAAGGACAAUUCCCAGCCGAGGCUGGUUCAAGGAACACACUUCCUGCACUUCUCUCGAUUGUCAUAGAAACACAGCAGCUGCUGUCACGACUCACAACGUGUCUGCCUGUGUCAGAGCUUUUCACUCCUCUUUUUUUAGAGCAGUAACGCUCACAGUUUCACAUAAUUACCGAAGGCUGAAUUAUUCCACAAAACUUCGCACUCCAUACUAAAAAUAUUGUAGACGUUUAUGGUACUGCAUGUUAUGAAUAAUAGGAAAAAAAGGUCUGGAAAAUACCCUUAAGGCAGUAAGAAAAGCAUCUUUCACGAAUAGAAGAGCUUCAAGAGCACAGCAUUUCCUCAAAGGAAAGCACGGGUAGCCUCACUUUGGUGCCAUCAGCAACAGGCAUUUUUACUACAGGAGGCACAGGACACAGCAGGUGCACUGCACACACUUCAGGAGCACCUAAGACACGGCAGGCCUCGUUCUCUAGCACCUAAAUGCAAGACAAGACAUUAGUUGAAGUGAAAUCCCCAAACAAGGGAUCAAAUUUUCAAAUCAUAUUAAGAGCGGUAAGACAUGGUAAGAAUAGAUUAUCGUUUGUUACAUGACCUAAAGCUCUUUACCGUAAAGCAGUCAGUCAGUAAUCCAUCUCCCAAUUAACUGAGAUGCUUUUCUACAGCAACUUCCAAGAAACUAAACCGUACAAACAGCAGCACAGCUUUUAAGAGAAACAAUACCAAUUAAUAAACGCUGAACAAGGGUUUGUUUCUCCUUUCGGACUGCUUGUGUGAACACCAGAGGAUGAAAGCCUAUUCCACGUGUACUCGUUCUGCUGCAGAAAAACAUCAGAAUUAUUUUCAGCGUGGUAAUAAAUGACAUGGUGCAUGUGUGUCAGAUGUGUGCGUGAUCUAAUUUGGAAGAAUCCCGACCCGACACACCGCAAAGCGGUUUGCCAGUCGGCUCCUACCUGCCUGAAUCCCCGCUGCCACCAUGCGAGGGGGUUCUGCGCUCUCCUCCUGCCCUCGGGCACAUUCCCACCACCCCUCUUUACACCGUGAGGGUUUGCACAUCCUCAGCCCUGAGUUCAGGGAUAUGAUUCGACUGCAAAGUAACGCAGUAAAAAUAAGUUUUUUCCCCUAUAGCAGCGCAGACUGGACCAGCUUCAGUCUACAAAACAUCUCCAAAGGCCAUCACCAACUACGCAGGAUCUCGGUCAAGCAGCAGUGCACCGCAUAAAGUUUGACCCAUUUUAUUAGGGCAGCACUUUAGCGCAGCCUCCUAAGGUUACCAUACAGAACUGGUGUUAGAUAUAUUUAUUGGUGGCCUUCAGACUCCACGUGCUCCAAGUGUAUCUUGGACAGCAAAGCUCUAAAGUCCUUUUUGUUAAGCUAUUCUACCGUUUGGAGUAGCACAGCACUUAAAGAUCAGGGUCUCGCAUUGGCUGCACAUAAAAUCCUAUAAAGAGACUGCCUCCCUUCCACAGUUCCUCCUCUUCCUUUCAGCAGCUCGCUCACUCAUCACACUGUGCUGGCACAAGCGCACACAGCACUGAGAACCAGAUCAGGGUUCAAUUCAGCUGAGAAAUAAUCCGGUCAAAACCACAAUUUUAAGUAUUUUUCAGCUGGAUCGGCUUCCCAGACAAGUUCAUUGUGCAGUUACACGCACGCUGGUGCCAGCAGAGUGGGAAGGAGUGCCUCUUUAAGCAGAAAUGCUGCCAAACAUGUAGCCAUGGCCUAAAUAGGCAAGUCAGAAGACAGCAGGGGGAAAAAAAGGCAAACAGUACAGCUAGGAACACCCAGCCCUUAACUCUUACUUCAGCACUGCACCCACCAGACAUUUCCUUCUUCAUUUUAGCUCUCUCCCAUGCACGUUCUGUGAAGCUACAGAAGCCUGUUCUUAGGGUGGAAGUACCCAAAAAAAGGCAGCACCUUUAAAAUUAAGAAUUUUUACAGAGCUGCUCAAGGGCUGUAAUCCACCAGGAUUUCCACACUCCUUUGUAGGGCUGGUGUCUGAUGGCUUCACAGUAGCUGCUGUAUUUACAAUACAAAAAAAAACACAAACAACUCCUGCUCCCAUCUGAUUUUUGAUCUAAGUGCGAAAGCUUCCCAGAACAGCGGAGCCCAACACCGGUCAGCAUGACUGACAGGCUGAAGUGCCCAAGCUACCGAACUCUCGUCAAGAGAGGACAACAGCUUCGGGGAGCUGAACAGCCUCUUACUGUUGAGCUGUCUCCUAAACGCUCUUUGUUUGGGGGGACCUCACAAGCACGCACUUCAGCCAAGUCAGACCAGCGCUUCCUAGAGCACAGCAGCCUACUUCUCUCCAGAUGCAGCCAGCCGUUCUGCAAACAGCGGAAGGUAAGAGCUGUAACACAGAAGUGGACUGAAGAAUACAGGCAGGACAGGACCAUAACCUCAGUGGGUUUUUUUGUUUUUAAAUUUUCAACAGCAUAUUUCACGUUACCCCUUUAAACAAGCCUAUUGCUAGGCCUUGCUCCUCUUAACUGGCAUUGCUCCAUGAGCAGAGAACUUAACCAUAGCUCUCAAACAGGAGUUCAGCUCCCUCCCAUAACUGCACCCCGAUCUUUCCUCGACAUUAGUAUCCCAAACCCUCCUCACGCUUUUGCUACUUCUGAAGAUUUUUCUUCCCCUCCUACUGCAUCAGUUUGCAUUUAAAGAAGCCCAUCCACCACUUGUACAAUGGCACCAUUGUUCCCCUUCUGCGACUCCUGCCCACAGACGCAGCUGGGUGGGAGCCCCGCUCCCCAAGUGGUUCUCCCACUGCCGCCCUACGUGGAAGCCAACAGCGCAGGAGGUGCCACCAGGAGCAGUGUGCGGGGCACAGCCACCCAGCUUUCUGGAGGGAGGCUCAGCAGCUCUCACUCUUAUUCCACAUAGAUGUUACUUGACCAAGAGAAAGUCUUCUGAUAAGGCAAGAGAAGACAGUGAGCUGCAGAUGCUGGUAAGCUGCUCCUCACUGCAGUUCUCAUUCCUGGCCUCAGUUUCCUCACUGUUAACAACAGAUUCUUUGGGGUACUGAAGACAAAGUACCACUGCUGAAGCAGUAACAGCUCCCACAGCUGCUUUGCAAUUUUGAAGUGUGCCAAAAGCAAGCACUAAUCUACGCUUUUAAGAUAAAACAUACCUAGAAUCAAAUGGAGAAAGACAUUCCUGAACAGGAGAAAAGUCAAACCUUGUUUACAUCUCUGACCACACUCAGUUUGGCUAGGGACAGAAAUGUGACUUCAUCCCUUCAUCAUCUGCACAAACUGCAGCAGACUACAGCAGCGUUUCAGCUACAAAGAGGAAACGCGAAUCAAGUGAUAGGUUACUAACAAAGAAGCAGAGAAUGGUCCUGUAGCAGACUUAGCAGCCACAGCAGAUACCCCAGAGCCUCCUCCAGAGGCGUUCAGGCCCCAACCAGUUAAACAACUUGUCCACGAUCAGGGCUGAUCACUCAGCUUAGGACUUAGGUUCCUGGCUCCCAGCCUUGGACGCAGACCAUCAUACUUUUGCGUAUCUUUGGAUUACGCUUGAAAGAACAUUUAGAUACAGCAGCUUGACUCUUUUCCUUCUGCCAAGUAAUUAAACAAAUUUGACUUAAUUCGUUCUGAAGCACAAACUCAUUCCAUUAAGCUAACGUCUAGUUUUCAAGGAUGGUUUAAACUCACGGUUCUCAAGUUGUUUCCAAGUGGAGUUGCCACUAUGCUACCUCUUGGAGAGCAGAACUGCAGGAGAACAAACCCAAAGAAACUGCAGAAAAUCUCUGUACUCCUUUUCUGCAGUCAUUCCCGUAAAGGAAGCUUCUACUAAGAAAGUGUGGUCAUGUCUGCUCUUGAGCAGUUCUGGACAGUUAAGUCUUUCCUGCACUGGAACAGCAGUGCCACAAAAAAAGAAAUCCAUGCAUUACAGAUUCUUUUGAUACCCUGGACCACUGAACUUAAAGGACAAUAAAUCUACUUCACCCCUGGAAAAGUCUUGUCUCAUCUAGUGUCCUGGGUCCAGAUUCUCCAGAGUAGUCAGAAUAACAAGUUGAGCACUGAUACUUUGUGGGACUGGGCUCCAGAAGGACAAAUAGGAAGUUGAGAAGGGAGGAAGACUUCUGUCGAGCAAAGAAUCGGCUGUUUCAGAAGCAGAGACAGCAGAAGCCACAUGACAAAAAGGCAACCUUCUGUCAUCGGUUAAUUUUAAGGACACCAACUAUAAUGAUUCAGACACUCAGAUUUCAACUUCAAAUCCAAGUUCCGUACUUCACCUUGAUGCAAACAAGAGCCAGCCAAAGCUGACAACCAAAGAGAAGCUCCAUACGUGCUGAGACUGGAGGGGAGCUGGCUGCUCCUCACACAGCCACACUCCUGAAGUUACAAAAGCUCUGCCAAAGCGAAAUGGCGCAGCCUUGGCCAUUGCCUUCUUCACUUCCUAGGUUUCAUAACAGUUUCCCCCCUUUUCCUUCCAUCCUCAGCAUCUCCAAAGGAAAUGUCACAUCCACCUACCACACAGUGCUUAGAAAGCCAGAGAAUUAAGAACUGUCACCUGACAGCUGGUGUUUCAGCCAACAAACCCUCAAAUAUUGACUUUGUAACAGCCAGCCAUUCUAACCUCAGCACCCACAGAACUGGAGGCUGUUCCUAUUAGGAGACGGUGAGGUGGUCACACCUGAGCCCAAACCGACUGGAAGCUCUGCACCAGCACUCUUUGCAAACUUUUUGAAGUUGCUGCCAUCGUCACUGCAUUGAUAGAAGCGUUACUCUCCACUGGCCUGUUUUACGGGCAGUAUUUUAGGGAGACUGCUGGUUCACAUUCGGCUGCUUCAUGUAAUGAAUGGAUGCAGGUUCCUUGGCUGACACAUAGUUAGCGUUAACUUCACCAGAUAUCACAAUUCUGUUAAGAACGGAAAGAAAAAGUGAAACAUACUUCUUCCAUUUCUUCUGGGUUUGUUUUCUUCACUUUGCUGUUUCUAGGGAAGUUUCAGUACUCCACAAAAGUCAGUUCUUAAAAUCCCAGUUCUAAAGCCACUUCAAAACCCCACGCCCUAGGUACUACCCUAGCCAAACUGGCACUGUCCUCAGUCCCAGCCGUGGCUGGAGCCCACGCUUGUUAGCCUGCAGACCACGGUGGUUAAAGAAUCACUGAAGUUUCAGACAGCAAAAUUUUCUUUAGCUUUCACCAUGGAGCUGCCAC
This is a long non-coding RNA of Cygnus olor (mute swan), 17516 nucleotides long. RefSeq lists it as uncharacterized. The record is from RefSeq and is a predicted model, not a curated record. Lineage: Eukaryota; Metazoa; Chordata; Aves; Anseriformes; Anatidae. The transcript is spliced from 3 exons.